GUGAAUCCAUCUGGUCCUGGACUCUUUUUGAUUGAUGCUGUGGGGACCUGUUAGCAUCUUCUGUGUCAUCUCAUCCUCAUGGCAACCUUGUAAGGAAGAAGCCAACUUCAGGACAUUAAGCUACCAUAAGAAAAGAAACAGGAGGAUUCUCUUCUUUUGGAUCGUAUGGUACAGAUGCCGUGUGAAUGCCUAAUGAGUGGGAUCUGAACACAACUCUGCUAAUAAGGAAGUCUCCAAAAUGUAGUUCCUAGCUGUCCAGUUCCUGUGAUUCUUGAACAGUUGUUGAAGAGGAUGAGUAUAUUGUUGAAUGCCAACACAUAGUUCUGUUUUCCUUCACAGAGACAAUAUACAUGGGGAAUCAUCCCCAAAUAGAAAGAUGAGUUGCAUGCUGAA
Molecule: long non-coding RNA, 393 nt
Organism: Homo sapiens (human)
Lineage: Eukaryota; Metazoa; Chordata; Mammalia; Primates; Hominidae
Exons: 4
Source: RefSeq, a predicted model, not a curated record